AUGAAGCCAUCUUGUGGUUGGGGGGAAAAGCGUGCACGCACGGUGUCCAAUGGAUGGAGGGACUGGGCGAGUCUUUCCAACGGGCCGGCCUGGGUGAUCGCCGAUUGUGUCCUUGACCAUGACGUGGCCGACUACGUCCGCUUUCGUGCAGUGUGCCAUGCAUGGCGGUGGUGCUCUACCGAUCCGUAUGACGGCGUAGCAAGUGUGGCGGCGGAGCUAGGGGAGGACCGGCACAGAGGAGGGAGAAAAGAGGAGAGGAACAGGUCGAAUCGGCUAGGUCGAGGAGGGCAUGGAACUGUGUUUGACAUGGAAUAUGGGAGUGCCACCCUGGAGGACAUUGCGGAAUAUGACACGGUGAUCAGUCAAAUUUUUGGCAGCGAGGAAGAAGGUUACAAUUACUAUAAUGCAUAUGCUCGGUCAAAGGGUUUUGGUGUUAGAAAGGAAGAACUGACUAGGAAGUCGGACACGAACAUAGCUUCUCGGCGCCUCUAUGUCUGCUCUAAAGAAGGAUAUCGGGCGAGGAAGCACUUUGAGAAAACUAAACGGGUGCGAACUCCUAGGCCGUUGUCACGUUGUGGAUGUGGCGCUCGGAUGGAGAUCGAGCUUCGUAUGGAUAAUGGUGAAUGGUUUGUAAAAGAUUUUUUGGACGAACAUAACCAUCCACUCGCUAAGCCUGAGCAGACAACUUACAUAAGGUCACAUCGUGGGCUGAGUGACGUGCAAAAGGCUGAUGUCAUUGAGUAUGGAAUUGGUGGCCUUCGAACACAUCAAAUAAUGGAAGUAAUGGAGAAGGAUAGUGGUGGUUUCAGCAAGGUAGGCUUUAUACCUCGGGACCUGUAUAAUUUUGUUGCCAAGUACAAGAAGGAAAGGAUAGAAGGCCGUGAUGCUGAAUUUGUGCUCCCUGAUCCACUUGAGAGAAGUGCUGCUCUCAUUUAUACUCCAGUGAUGUUCAAGAAGGUAAAACAUCAAAUCAUGCAGUUGUCAAAAUGGGAAGUAGCAGAAGUGACCAAGAAUGAUGCUUUUGUUCUGUAUACAGUUGCUCGCAAAGAGAGUAGGCAUGUGACGUAUGAUGUGAGGUUUGUCAUGGCAGGCCCGUUGCUUCAGAGUGUGAAUUGCCGUUGUCUGAAGAUGGAAUCAGAGGAGAUCCCGUGCGCUCACAUUUUUUCUGUUCUAAAAUACCUUGGCUUAGUCAGCAUUCCUAGGUGUUGUGUCUCAACAAGAUGGACGAUGGUAGGCAAGUCCGCAUUUGACUCAGAGAGGAAUGGUAAUAUGCAUGAAUGGUCUGAGCGGAUGGAUCGUUACCAUGAACUCCGCAACAUUUGUAGUCUGUAUUUAUUCAAAGCUUCAAACAGCCAGGAGACGUCACAGAAGGUGGUGGAUUUUCUCAAGGGUAUUAUAGCUGAAGGCGGCGAAGAUGAUGGGAAAAAUGAGGCGGCAUCACUGGGCCCUCUUCCAGCAUAUUUUUCAAGGUCAAGCCAAGCAUGUCCAGGAAAUGUCCGGAAUCCAAAAAAAAUUAAACCGAAAGUGGUGCUGCCGCUCAUGUACUCGUCUACUCAUGCUAUUGAUGCAUCUCCUGAAACCAUUAUUUUGUUGCAUUGUGUGGCAGAAGAUUUAUUGUGUUGGUGUUUCCUGAAUGAUUUAUCUUAUCGCAUGAAGGUCAUUUCAUUGGGAUUAGGAAGUGCAUACUGA
RNAcentral lists this ribosomal RNA (1689 nucleotides) under Triticum aestivum (bread wheat). RNAcentral describes it as "partial small subunit ribosomal RNA". The record is from RNAcentral. Lineage: Eukaryota; Viridiplantae; Streptophyta; Magnoliopsida; Poales; Poaceae.